UCUCCCUUAUGGUUGUUAUCUAUGAAGCAGGAAUGUCUGGGGCUAUAGAUAGCGCUGGGGCCUCAGCAUUAUAAAUGUCCAGAACAAGCCAUUUUUUAAGACCUGAAUAUUAAGCAUCUAAAAAUAUGUCUACAAGGGGAAUUCUCGGAGUGCUCUGUAGCUCAUGUCACGAACCCAACGCCAAAAGCUUGGAGGAUAUUUUGGUAAAGGCUCCCGAAUGUUUUAACGGAUUUCUGUGUACAAGCGAGGGCCAUAUUUCGUACAUAUUCAACCCGGAGGAAUCUACGGUUAAGAUAUUCACAGACAGCGUGUCCCAACCCUUUUAUCGUGCAGAACCCGAGCCUUUUUCUCUAGCGCUAAGGAUGCGAGAAUGGCUUAAAAUAAGGCUAGCUUUGUGUCAAAUGGAACGUGCCAUGAGUGCUUCAAGGCUGCCAGGAUAUGCGUUGGAAGAACAAGUCUGUGGACGUCAGGAUCUAAUGGCCCUGAGAGUCACAUCCAUGGGGUAUACCCCGGACUCCAGAGUGACAAUUUUAGCAUGUGAACAAUUUGACAGGUCAAAUGCUACGAAAACGGUCAGUCCAUAUGUAUCCUCCAAAGCAUGCAAGGAUGUACAUUUUUUUCAAAUAAUGUUCAGUUUUAAAUGGCGCGAUUACCACAUUUUCCGAACCCUGAUGAAUAAGCUGGACAGUCUUUUCGAAAAUCGUGAACAAUUACGGCGAUGGCCUAGGUUAUCGUUGAGACAUACCCCGGAACAACAUAGGUUAUCGUUGAGACAUACACCGGAACAACAACAAGUUCGAAGGCGGAUCUUUCCCUGGCAGGAAAGUGGACAGAGCUUCGACGGAGCGCGGAAAAGACUUUGUGAUGGGGAAUUGGAAACGGAUAAUGUUCAGGGCUAACAGGACCCCAUAUAUCUGAUCCCCGACAUUUACGCAGCUUUUACGCGAUUUACCUGAUCUGGAACAUGAUGGGGGUUCGCAGGAGCAAAAGUCUGGCAGACAAUCACCAACGGCCUUUUUUCGUUCCGACAUACAGCCCUUUAUGAUAAAGGAUGCGUUAUGGACAGCUGACACGCAGGACUUUGAUGCAAUUCUACCGUUCACUGUGGCCCAAGUACACUGCUCAGAAUCAAGCCCACCCGAAAACUACUGUUGGGCCGGGAACUUGCUGCUUCACGAGCCGGCGCUCCAGGGACAAGACUGCCCGGAGACAGACCCAGCAGAAUCUGGAACGCUAGAGGGAAAAAGUCACACACCCCCGGUUUCGGCGAUUCGUCACAACAAGCGCCAA
This is a long non-coding RNA of Oncorhynchus nerka (sockeye salmon), 1290 nucleotides long. RefSeq lists it as uncharacterized. Lineage: Eukaryota; Metazoa; Chordata; Actinopteri; Salmoniformes; Salmonidae. The record is from RefSeq and is a predicted model, not a curated record. The transcript is spliced from 4 exons.